GGCCCGUUGGUCAAGUGGUUAAGACACCGCCCUUUCACGGCGGUAACACGGGUUCGAAUCCCGUACGGACUA
This 72-nucleotide transfer RNA is filed under the name Streptococcus pneumoniae. RNAcentral's name for it is "tRNA-Glu(ttc)". It matches the Rfam family "tRNA". Rfam says of the family: Transfer RNA (tRNA) molecules are approximately 80 nucleotides in length. Their secondary structure includes four short double-helical elements and three loops (D, anti-codon, and T loops). Further hydrogen bonds mediate the characteristic L-shaped molecular structure. tRNAs have two regions of fundamental functional importance: the anti-codon, which is responsible for specific mRNA codon recognition, and the 3' end, to which the tRNAs corresponding amino acid is attached (by aminoacyl-tRNA synthetases). tRNAs cope with the degeneracy of the genetic code in two manners: having more than one tRNA (with a specific anti-codon) for a particular amino acid; and 'wobble' base-pairing, i.e. permitting non-standard base-pairing at the 3rd anti-codon position. Lineage: Bacteria; Bacillati; Bacillota; Bacilli; Lactobacillales; Streptococcaceae. RNAcentral also lists the same sequence under 1 other name. The record is from RNAcentral.